GUUUUCAGCCAUACCACCCUGGAUUUCAUCUGAUCUCAGAAGCUAAGCAGGGUUAGGCUUGGUUAGUACUUGGAUGGGAAUGUCUAUAAAUCAUUUUUGCACUGGAUAUG
RNAcentral lists this ribosomal RNA (110 nucleotides) under Octodon degus (degu). Lineage: Eukaryota; Metazoa; Chordata; Mammalia; Rodentia; Octodontidae. The record is from RNAcentral.